UGGGGAAUUUUGGACAAUGGGGGCAACCCUGAUCCAGCCAUUCCGCGUGAGUGAAGAAGGCCUUCGGGUUGUAAAGCUCUUUCGGACGGAACGAAACGGUUAGCGUGAAUAGCGCUGACUAAUGACGGUACCGUAAGAAGAAGCACCGGCUAACUACGUGCCAGCAGCCGCGGUAAUACGUAGGGUGCGAGCGUUAAUCGGAAUUACUGGGCGUAAAGCGUGCGCAGGCGGCGGCACAAGUCAGGUGUGAAAUCCCCGGGCUUAACCUGGGAAUUGCGCUUGAAACUAGGUCGCUUGAGUGUGGCAGAGGGGGGUGGAAUUCCUGGUGUAGCGGUGAAAUGCGUAGAUAUCAGGAGGAACACCGGUGGCGAAGGCGGCUUUCUGGACGGUGACUGACGCUGAGACGCGAAAGCGUGGGGAGCAAACAGGAUUAGAUACCCGCGUAGUCCCUGAGCGGGCUGGGCAAGGCG
Molecule: ribosomal RNA, 470 nt
Filed under: uncultured bacterium
Lineage: Bacteria
Description: bacterial SSU rRNA
Rfam family: Bacterial small subunit ribosomal RNA
Source: RNAcentral